Molecule: unclassified non-coding RNA, 306 nt
Filed under: fungal sp.
Lineage: Eukaryota; Fungi
Description: partial internal transcribed spacer region
Rfam family: Eukaryotic small subunit ribosomal RNA (bases 1-46)
Source: RNAcentral
AAGUCGUAACAAGGUUUCCGUAGGUGAACCUGCGGAAGGAUCAUUCAUGAAGAGAACCUAGUGUUUUCAUUCAUUCUACCCCGUGAAAUAUAUCUCAUUGGCUAGCGCUGCAGCCAAGUUAAGCUGAACGUCUUUAGGCUUUAAUUUGGGGCUUUAUUGUGCUGAACGUCUUUAGGCACUUUAAGGUCAGCUUGGUAUGAACGACUCUAGUACCAGGCUAAACUGUAACUAGCCAGAGGUUUGGAUAAGCUGAACGUCUUUAGGCUUACCCUUGCCUUAGGCUCCCAAUUCGAUGAAGAACGCAGC